RNAcentral lists this ribosomal RNA (468 nucleotides) under uncultured bacterium. Its description in RNAcentral is "partial 16S ribosomal RNA". It matches the Rfam family "Bacterial small subunit ribosomal RNA", at positions 28 to 507 of the family's 1533-position model. The record is from RNAcentral.
GACGAACGCUGGCGGCGUGCUUAACACAUGCAAGUCGAACGGAAAGGCCCUGCUGUUGCGGGGGACUCGAGUGGCGAAAGUGUGAGUAACACGGGAGUAACAUGCCCGUGACUUUGGCAUAACUUCGGGAAACUGGGGCUAAUACCGGAUAGUAGUUCCUCCUACAUGGUGGGGGUGGGAUAGUCUCGGCGGUUGGGGAUGGACUCGCGGCUUAUCAGCUUGUUGGGGGGGUAGUGGCUUACCAAGGCUUGGACGGGUAGCCGGCCUGAGAGGGUGACCGGCCACAUUGGGACUGAGCUACGGCCCAGACUCCUCCCGGAGGCAACAGUGGGGAAGAGUAUACAGUAGGCGGAGGCCAGAUGCAGCAACGCCGCGUGCGGGAUGACGGCCUUCGGGUUGUAAUCCGCUUUCGCCUGUGACGAAGCGUGAGUGACGGUAAUGGGUAAAGAAGCACCGGCUAACUACGUG